RNAcentral lists this ribosomal RNA (524 nucleotides) under uncultured bacterium. RNAcentral's name for it is "partial 16S ribosomal RNA". It matches the Rfam family "Bacterial small subunit ribosomal RNA", at positions 28 to 523 of the family's 1533-position model. The record is from RNAcentral.
GACGAACGCUGGCGGCGUGCCUAAUACAUGCGAGUCGAGCGCAGGAAGCUGACGGAACUCUUCGGAGGGAAGGCAGUGGAAUGAGCGGCGGACGGGUGAGUAACACGUAAGGAACCUGCCUCACGGAUUGGGAUAACUCCGCGAAAUCGGAGCUAAUACCGGAUAGUUCAACGGACCGCAUGGUCCGCUGAUGAAAGGCGCUCCGGCGUCACCUUGAGAUGGCCUUGCGGUGCAUUAGCUAGUUGGUGGGGGAACGGCUCACCAAGGCGACGAGGCAGAGCCGGGCUGAGAGGGUGAGCGGCCCCGCUGGGACUGAGACACGGCCCAGACUCCUACGGGAGGCAGCAGUAGGGAAUCUUCCACAAUGGGAGAAAGUCUGAGGGAGCAAGGCCGCGUGAGUGAUGAAGGUUUUCGGAUCGUAAAACUCUGUUGUAGGGGAAGAACACGUACGAGAGGAAAUGCUCGUACCUUGACGGUACCUUACGAGAAAGCCACGGCUAACUACGUGCCAGCAGCCGCCGUAA